RNAcentral lists this ribosomal RNA (254 nucleotides) under uncultured bacterium. RNAcentral describes it as "partial 16S ribosomal RNA". It matches the Rfam family "Bacterial small subunit ribosomal RNA", at positions 524 to 776 of the family's 1533-position model. The record is from RNAcentral.
UACGUAGGGUGCAAGCGUUAAUCGGAAUUACUGGGCGUAAAGCGUGCGCAGGCGGUUAUGUAAGACAGUUGUGAAAUCCCCGGGCUCAACCUGGGGAAUUGCAUCUGUGACUGCAUAGCUAGAGUACGGUAGAGGGGGAUGGAAUUCCGCGUGUAGCAGUGAAAUGCGUAGAUAUGCGGAGGAACACCGAUGGCGAAGGCAAUCCCCUGGACCUGUACUGACGCUCAUGCACGAAAGCGUGGGGAGCAAACAGG